AGUCGAGCGGAAGUUGAGUAGUAAUACUUAACCUAGAGCGGCGCACGGGUGCGUAACGCGUAUGCAACCUACCUUUUACUGGGGGAUAGCCCGGAGAAAUCUGGAUUAAUACCCCAUGGUACCUAGAGGUCGAAUGAUUUUUAGUUUAAAGAUUUAUCGGUAAGAGAUGGGCAUGCGUCUGAUUAGCUAGUUGGCGGGGUAACGGCCCACCAAGGCGACGAUCAGUAGGGGUUCUGAGAGGAAGGUCCCCCACACUGGCACUGAGAUACGGGCCAGACUCCUACGGGAGGCAGCAGUAGGGAAUAUUGGGCAAUGGUCGCAAGACUGACCCAGCCAUGCCGCGUGCAGGAAGACGGCCCUCUGGGUUGUAAACUGCUUUUAUCUGGGAAGAAAAAGUCCAUGCGUGGAAAAUUGCCGGUACCAGAUGAAUAAGCACCGGCUAACUCCGUGCCAGCAGCCGCGGUAAUACGGAGGGUGCAAGCGUUGUCCGGAUUUAUUGGGUUUAAAGGGUGCGUAGGCGGCUGAAUAAGUCAGCGGUGAAAGACUUCGGCUUAACCGGAGCAGUGCCGUUGAUACUGUUUAGCUUGAGUGUUGGAGGGGUACAUGGAAUUGAUGGUGUAGCGGUGAAAUGCAUAGAUACCAUCAGGAACACCGAUAGCGAAGGCAUUGUACUGGCCAACAACUGACGCUGAGGCACGAAAGUGUGGGGAUCGAACAGGAUUAGAUACCCUGGUAGUCCACACCGUAAACGAUGAUUACUCGCUGUUAUGGUGUAAGCUGUAGCGGCCAAGCGAAAGCGUUAAGUAAUCCACCUGGGGAGUACGCCGGCAA
This 831-nucleotide ribosomal RNA is filed under the name uncultured Bacteroidota bacterium. RNAcentral describes it as "bacterial SSU rRNA". It matches the Rfam family "Bacterial small subunit ribosomal RNA", at positions 60 to 891 of the family's 1533-position model. The record is from RNAcentral. Lineage: Bacteria; Pseudomonadati; Bacteroidota.